UGAGGAUGUGAUUUAGGAAGGCACCAGAAGAGCUAGCCUUUCUGAAGGCUUGCGGUUACAGCCCUGGCCCUCUGCUGCUCAGGUCCUGGACUCUUGGGACCUGUCCUAAUCUGACGGCCAUAAGCCAGUGAGGUUGGCAUGGAGACAGCAUGAAGACCGCGUAUACAGUAUUGCAUGAGGAAGCUUGCAUGCAACGGAGGAAAAGAAGAAACCAUAGCAACAGCGGGGGUCCUUUGGACUUAACACUCCACAGACAAGGCCUUGAUGUUAACAUUCUGCCUGCACUCAGUUUGGACAAUCCUCAAUAAAUCUUGUUAAGAG
Molecule: long non-coding RNA, 321 nt
Organism: Mauremys mutica (yellowpond turtle)
Lineage: Eukaryota; Metazoa; Chordata; Testudines; Geoemydidae
Exons: 3
Source: RefSeq, a predicted model, not a curated record